UACGGAAGGCAGCAGUGGGGAAUAUUGCACAAUGGGCGAAAGCCUGAUGCAGCUAUGCCGCGUGUAUGAAGAAGGCCUUAGGGUUGUAAAGUACUUUCAUCGGGGAGGAAAAAACAAAACUAAUAAUUUUAUUUCUUGACGUUACCCGAAAAAGAAGCACCGGCUAACUCCGUGCCAGCAGCCGCGGUAAUACGGAGGGUGCUAGCGUUAAUCAGAAUUACUGGGCGUAAAGAGCACGUAGGUGGUUUUUUUAAGUCAGAUGUGAAAUCCCUGGGCUUAACCUAGGAACUGCAUUUUGAAACUGAAAUACUAGAGUAUCGUAGAGGGAGGUAGAAUUCUAGGUGUAGCGGUGAAAUGCGUAAAUAUCUGGAGGAAUCCUGUGGCGAAAGCGGCCUCCUAAACGAAUACUGACACUGAGGUGCGAAAGCGUGGGGAGCAAACAGGGAUUAGAUACC
This 455-nucleotide ribosomal RNA is filed under the name uncultured bacterium. RNAcentral's name for it is "bacterial SSU rRNA". It matches the Rfam family "Bacterial small subunit ribosomal RNA", at positions 340 to 786 of the family's 1533-position model. The record is from RNAcentral.